Molecule: ribosomal RNA, 572 nt
Filed under: uncultured bacterium
Lineage: Bacteria
Description: partial 16S ribosomal RNA
Rfam family: Bacterial small subunit ribosomal RNA
Source: RNAcentral
UGGGGAAUUUUGGACAAUGGGCGAAAGCCUGAUCCAGCAAUGCCGCGUGUGUGAAGAAGGCCUUCGGGUUGUAAAGCACUUUUGUCCGGAAAGAAAUCCUUGGCUCUAAUACAGUCGGGGGAUGACGGUACCGGAAGAAUAAGCACCGGCUAACUACGUGCCAGCAGCCGCGGUAAUACGUAGGGUGCAAGCGUUAAUCGGAAUUACUGGGCGUAAAGCGUGCGCAGGCGGUUUGCUAAGACCGAUGUGAAAUCCCCGGGCUCAACCUGGGAACUGCAUUGGUGACUGGCAGGCUAACGAUNUGCAUGGAGGGGUAGGGGUAAUAUCCACGUGUAGCAGUGAAAUGCGUAGAGAUGUGGAGGAAUACCGAUGGCGAAGGCAGCCCCCUGGGCCAAUACUGACGCUCAUGCACGAAAGCGUGGGGAGCAAACAGGAUUAGAUACCCUGGUAGUCCACGCCCUAAAACGAUGUCAACUAGUUGUUGGGGAUUCAUUUCCUUAGUAACGUAGCUAACGCGUGAAGUUGACCGCCUGGGGAGUACGGUCGCAAGAUUAAAACUCAAAUGAAUUGAC